UUUGGUUAAGUUAGAAAGGGCGCACGGUGGAUGCCUUGACACUAGGAGUCGAUGAAGGACGGGACUAACGCCGAUAUGCUUCGGGGAGCUGUAAGUAAGCUUUGAUCCGAAGAUUUCCGAAUGGGGAAACCCACCAUACGUAAUGGUAUGGUAUCCUUAUCUGAAUACAUAGGGUAAGGAAGACAGACCCAGGGAACUGAAACAUCUAAGUACCUGGAGGAAGAGAAAGCAAAUGCGAUUUCCUGAGUAGCGGCGAGCGAAACGGAACAUAGCCCAAACCAAGAGGCUUGCCUCUUGGGGUUGUAGGACAUUCUAUACGGAGUUACAAAGGAACGAGGUAGACGAAGCGACCUGGAAAGGUCCGUCGUAGAGGGUAACAACCCCGUAGUCGAAACUUCGUUCUCUCUUGAAUGUAUCCUGAGUACGGCGGAACACGUGAAAUUCCGUCGGAAUCUGGGAGGACCAUCUCCCAAGGCUAAAUACUCCCUAGUGAUCGAUAGUGAACCAGUACCGUGAGGGAAAGGUGAAAAGCACCCCGGAAGGGGAGUGAAAGAGAUCCGAAACCGUGUGCCUACAAAUAGUCAGAGCCCGUUAACGGGUGAUGGCGUGCCUUUUGUAGAAUGAACCGGCGAGUUACGAUCCCGUGCGAGGUUAAGCUGAAGAGGCGGAGCCGCAGCGAAAGCGAGUCUGAAUAGGGCGUUUAGUACGUGGUCGUAGACCCGAAACCAGGUGAUCUACCCAUGUCCAGGGUGAAGUUCAGGUAACACUGAAUGGAGGCCCGAACCCACGCACGUUGAAAAGUGCGGGGAUGAGGUGUGGGUAGCGGAGAAAUUCCAAUCGAACCUGGAGAUAGCUGGUUCUCCCCGAAAUAGCUUUAGGGCUAGCCUUAAGUGUAAGAGUCUUGGAGGUAGAGCACUGAUUGGACUAGGGGUCCUCAUCGGAUUACCGAAUUCAGUCAAACUCCGAAUGCCAAUGACUUAUCCUUAGGAGUCAGACUGCGAGUGAUAAGAUCCGUAGUCAAAAGGGAAACAGCCCAGACCGCCAGCUAAGGUCCCAAAGUGUGUAUUAAGUGGAAAAGGAUGUGGAGUUGCUUAGACAACUAGGAUGUUGGCUUAGAAGCAGCCACCAUUUAAAGAGUGCGUAAUAGCUCACUAGUCGAGUGACUCUGCGCCGAAAAUGUACCGGGGCUAAAUACACCACCGAAGCUGCGGAUUGAUACCAAUGGUAUCAGUGGUAGGGGAGCGUUCUAAGGACAGUGAAGUCAGACCGGAAGGACUGGUGGAGUGCUUAGAAGUGAGAAUGCCGGUAUGAGUAGCGAAAGACGGGUGAGAAUCCCGUCCACCGAAUGCCUAAGGUUUCCUGAGGAAGGCUCGUCCGCUCAGGGUUAGUCAGGACCUAAGCCGAGGCCGACAGGCGUAGGCGAUGGACAACAGGUUGAUAUUCCUGUACCACCUCUUUAUCGUUUGAGCAAUGGAGGGACGCAGAAGGAUAGAAGAAGCGUGCGAUUGGUUGUGCACGUCCAAGCAGUUAGGCUGAUAAGUAGGCAAAUCCGCUUAUCGUGAAGGCUGAAGCUGUGAUGGGGAAGCUCCUUAUGGAGCGAAGUCUUUGAUUCCCCGCUGCCAAGAAAAGCUUCUAGCGAGAUAAAAGGUGCCUGUACCGCAAACCGACACAGGUAGGCGAGGAGAGAAUCCUAAGGUGUGCGAGAGAACUCUGGUUAAGGAACUCGGCAAAAUGACCCCGUAACUUCGGGAGAAGGGGUGCUUUCUUAACGGAAAGCCGCAGUGAAUAGGCCCAAGCGACUGUUUAGCAAAAACACAGCUCUCUGCGAAGCCGUAAGGCGAAGUAUAGGGGGUGACACCUGCCCGGUGCUGGAAGGUUAAGGAGAGGGGUUAGCGUAAGCGAAGCUCUGAACUGAAGCCCCAGUAAACGGCGGCCGUAACUAUAACGGUCCUAAGGUAGCGAAAUUCCUUGUCGGGUAAGUUCCGACCCGCACGAAAGGUGUAACGAUUUGGGCACUGUCUCAACCAGAGACUCGGUGAAAUUAUAGUACCUGUGAAGAUGCAGGUUACCCGCGACAGGACGGAAAGACCCCGUGGAGCUUUACUGUAGCCUGAUAUUGAAUUUUGGUACAGUUUGUACAGGAUAGGCGGGAGCCUUUGAAACCGGAGCGCUAGCUUCGGUGGAGGCGCUGGUGGGAUACCGCCCUGACUGUAUUGAAAUUCUAACCUACGGGUCUUAUCGACCCGGGAGACAGUGUCAGGUGGGCAGUUUGACUGGGGCGGUCGCCUCCUAAAGUGUAACGGAGGCGCCCAAAGGUUCCCUCAGAAUGGUUGGAAAUCAUUCGUAGAGUGCAAAGGCAUAAGGGAGCUUGACUGCGAGACCUACAAGUCGAGCAGGGACGAAAGUCGGGCUUAGUGAUCCGGUGGUUCCGCAUGGAAGGGCCAUCGCUCAACGGAUAAAAGCUACCCCGGGGAUAACAGGCUUAUCUCCCCCAAGAGUCCACAUCGACGGGGAGGUUUGGCACCUCGAUGUCGGCUCAUCGCAUCCUGGGGCUGUAGUCGGUCCCCAAGGGUUGGGCUGUUCGCCCAUUAAAGCGGUACGCGAGCUGGGUUCAGAACGUCGUGAGACAGUUCGGUCCCUAUCCGUCGUGGGCGUAGGAAAUUUGAGAGGAGCUGUCCUUAGUACGAGAGGACCGGGAUGGACGCACCGCUGGUGUACCAGUUGUUCUGCCAAGGGCAUAGCUGGGUAGCUAUGUGCGGAAGGGAUAAGUGCUGAAAGCAUCUAAGCAUGAAGCCCCCCUCAAGAUGAGAUUUCCCAUAGCGUAAGCUAGUAAGAUCCCUGAAAGAUGAUCAGGUUGAUAGGUUCGAGGUGGAAGCAUGGUGACAUGUGGAGCUGACGAAUACUAAUAGAUCGAGGACUUAACCAUAUAA
This 2930-nucleotide ribosomal RNA is filed under the name Bacillus anthracis (anthrax bacterium). Its description in RNAcentral is "bacterial LSU rRNA". It matches the Rfam family "Bacterial large subunit ribosomal RNA". The record is from RNAcentral. Lineage: Bacteria; Bacillati; Bacillota; Bacilli; Caryophanales; Bacillaceae.